GUUCAUAAUAACGUAGCGGGUGUGGAAUGGGAAAAAUGAAGUGAGGAAAUGAGUAUAUUUAUAUUAUUUGACGUAUUAUUUAAUAACAUGUCAACUUUUGUGUGUGUUAGUGUGUGUUUGUGAGUGUAGUUGAAGGAGCAGUCACAGGUGGCGCUGGGUGGCUGGUUGGCUUGCGGCUGGCUGGCUACAGUGUUUUGGUCAGCACUUGUCAGACUUGUCCCACACGCUCUAUUAACCAGUAAAAACAUGUGUCUGGGUGGCUGGUUGGCUUGCGGCUAGCUGGCUACAGUGUUUUGGUCAGCACUAGUCAGUCUUGUCCUACACACUCUAUUAAGCAGUGUUUCGGUAUUCCCUGCAGCUUCUCCCUGCAUCGAGCACCGCCAAGCAGCAUCAGAGAGGCACAAGUACGCAAGAUUGGAUAUUGUAGGAUAUCAGAAACAGCCUCCACAGGACCAAGAGAUAUGUUGCUGCUUGUUGCUGGUGACUGUAGUGAUGGCAGUCAUGAUGAUAAAAAGCUUUAAUAUUUUUAUUUAUUUAUUUUGUUUUAAUAAUGGUUACAGAAGCAUGCACACCAUAUGCCACCUGGUCACAGUGAGAGGUCUAACUGCUUGGGGAUAUAAAAUAUAACUCUUACAUACAAAGGUGUCAUGAUGUAUUUUUUUAUUAUGUAUGGUAAAUAUACAUGAUUUUGCCUUGUUAUGCUGAACGAGGUCAGGUAGAUCAUGUCUGCCUUGGGAGUGUAAAAUAUAGCAAACUUCACAUCUGA
Long non-coding RNA from Scylla paramamosain (green mud crab), 766 nucleotides. RefSeq lists it as uncharacterized. The transcript is spliced from 2 exons. Lineage: Eukaryota; Metazoa; Arthropoda; Malacostraca; Decapoda; Portunidae. The record is from RefSeq and is a predicted model, not a curated record.